UACGAAGGGGGCUAGCGUUGCUCGGAAUCACUGGGCGUAAAGGGCGCGUAGGCGGCUUAUCAAGUCGGGGGUGAAAGCCCGUGGCUCAACCACGGAAUGGCCUUCGAUACUGGUAGGCUUGAGACCGGAAGAGGACAGCGGAACUGCGAGUGUAGAGGUGAAAUUCGUAGAUAUUCGCAAGAACACCAGUGGCGAAGGCGGCUGUCUGGUCCGGUUCUGACGCUGAGGCGCGAAAGCGCGGGGAGCAAACAGG
This 253-nucleotide ribosomal RNA is filed under the name uncultured bacterium. Its description in RNAcentral is "partial 16S ribosomal RNA". It matches the Rfam family "Bacterial small subunit ribosomal RNA", at positions 524 to 776 of the family's 1533-position model. The record is from RNAcentral.